Molecule: ribosomal RNA, 441 nt
Filed under: uncultured Neocallimastigomycetes
Lineage: Eukaryota; Fungi; Neocallimastigomycota; Neocallimastigomycetes
Description: LSU rRNA
Rfam family: Eukaryotic large subunit ribosomal RNA
Source: RNAcentral
GCUCAAAUUUGAAAUCUUAAAGGUUUUACCUUGACGAAUUGUAGUUUAAAGAAGUGUUUUCUGUUGGUGUUUUGGUAAAAGUUCUUUGGAAUAGGACAUCAUAGAGGGUGAGAAUCCCGUAUUUGACCAUUACUUCCAGCGUUGUGAUACACUUUCAAAGAGUCGGAUUGUUUGGGAAUGCAGUCCAAAAUGGGUGGUAAAUUUCAUCUAAAGCUAAAUAUUGGCGAGAGACCGAUAGCGAACAAGUACCGUGAGGGAAAGAUGAAAAGAACUUUGAAAAGAGAGUUAAACAGUUCGUGAAAUUGUCAAAAGGGAAGCGUUUGACACCAGUGUUGUCUUCUCGAAAAUCAAUUAAAAAAAGUUGGAUUUUGUAUUGUUAAGACCUUAUCAGCUUACUGUACUCUUUUCUUGCUUUUUUUAAUGCACUUUUCGUUUAACAAG